CCCUUAGAUGUCCUGGGCUGCACGCGCGCUACACUGGAAGUUACGGAUUGAGAUACUACCUUGUCCGAAAUGGUCCGGGUAAUCACCUAAAAGCUUGUCAUAAUUGGAAUGGAUUAUUGUAACUAGUAAUCCUGAACGAGGAAUUCCUAGUAAGUCCCAGUCAACAGCUGGUACUGAUUACGUCCCUGCCCUUUGUACACACCGCCCGUCGCUACUACUGAUUGGACGUUUAAGCAAGAUUUUUAAACACUGACAGUGUGUAGUUCACGCUAUACUACAGUGAGAAGAAGAAGAUCGAGCUCACUUGUCUAGAGGAAGUAAAAGUCGUAACA
This 332-nucleotide ribosomal RNA is filed under the name uncultured eukaryote. Its description in RNAcentral is "partial 18S ribosomal RNA". It matches the Rfam family "Eukaryotic small subunit ribosomal RNA", at positions 1470 to 1796 of the family's 1831-position model. The record is from RNAcentral.